Molecule: long non-coding RNA, 844 nt
Filed under: Nilaparvata lugens (brown planthopper)
Lineage: Eukaryota; Metazoa; Arthropoda; Insecta; Hemiptera; Delphacidae
Description: uncharacterized LOC120350512
Source: RNAcentral
UCUACCAAUCACUGCUCGUGAACCGUUUUGUCGAAAAAGAACUAAUUUCGGGAUUCUGUCGACGGGAACAGACAGCUUCGAAAUAUUUUUCUGCUCUGAUCACGUGACACCGGCAGAAUAAUAAUCUUUCUCUGGAUCAGACGCCAUGUUCUUUUUAACCUCAAUCUUUAAUUUUUGGAUGGUUUGUUUUGAUAUAUUAUUUUGCUGUUGGUUGUUAGAUUUCGGAUUGCUACUAUUAUACUGUGAAAUUAAUUUGUAGUAGAAAAUUGAGGUAUAAAAUAUUUCCAUUGGUUUCUUUAUUCUUAUAAUUUUUACAAGAGAAAUUGAAAAUGGAUUUACAACAGAAAGGCGUGAAAUUCGUUAUUAAUUUGAUGCGACAGUUCAAAGUUUUGUACUUUCCAGACCUGCACAACGAAUUACCUAUUUGAAAAAUAGAAUAUGGUUGAAAAUUGCUGAUGUGAUAGAGGAUUCAAGUACCAUUUACAAACAAAAUAUUGAAGAGAAUGUGCUCGAAAGGAAAUUCAUAUGAAUUCUUUUUUGUUGACCAGGAUGGAAAAAGUCAUUGGAACCCAUAGUUAGAAUAAGAAUAAGUUAGGCCUAGAGGUGUACCAGCCAGAAGUAGAGGAUGACAAAGAAAAUCAACUAUGAAUAAUAUUCCAUGGAUAUGAUUCAUGUAUGAUGUAGUAGCCUACAGAAGAAAGAGAUGGACUAAUCUAAGAAAUAUAUUCAUUUUUUCAGUACAUCUUGAUGUUUUUAUUUCAUGUUAUUCAUAAUAAUAUCUUCUUCUUCUGAUCGCUCCUGCAAACUGCUGCAAUUCAGGUAGUUUUGAAUUAUACAGCAAGUG